GGGAACAGAAAAAGCACGAGUAUCAUGAGGCGGUCAAAAACCGCUACAAGCACCUUCCUGAAAUCAAGCGUAUUGUGAGGUACAAAAGGAUGAGGCCUGCUGUUAUUUGUUUGUUUCAGCGAACAUGGAAUUAUAAUCAUUAUUUCUUGUUAAAAUAAUGAAUUGUAUUUUGACAUGUAAAAUGGCCAACCAUUUUUAGUCUGUAUUUCUCACCUAUCUGUUGUUGUGAAUGGUGAUUGUGCAGGCAUAGGCACCUACCGAAACCAAUAUACAAGGCAGGUAAGCAAAUUCGUGAACAAAAUGAAUCUCAGAGAAAGAAGCAAGAGAAGAGGAAGGCGCACAGUGCCCCAGGAAGCAUAGUUGAAGAGCCAUUACGGAAAAGAAAAAUCAUCAAAGUCGAGUG
This 403-nucleotide long non-coding RNA is filed under the name Malus domestica (apple). RNAcentral describes it as "long non-coding RNA (MDOM_LNC007769)". Lineage: Eukaryota; Viridiplantae; Streptophyta; Magnoliopsida; Rosales; Rosaceae. The record is from RNAcentral.